Chlorocebus sabaeus (green monkey) is the source of this 1276-nucleotide non-coding RNA. NCBI's taxonomy places the organism in Eukaryota, Metazoa, Chordata, Mammalia, Primates, Cercopithecidae. The record is from RefSeq and is a predicted model, not a curated record.
AGGGACAAGUAGGAGAAUUGAAUGGGGAUGUGAUAGGAAUCAACACCCUUGCAUUUUUCAAGUCCUUGGUGAUGGCAGUAACCACUGAAAUCCCUCCUGGAGUGCAGUAUUGCAUUUGAUUUACUGUUUUCCUAGGUACAGGUAGUUCUAAUGACUUCCUCUUGGCCUUUCCCAUAAUAGUAGCCAUCAUCUUAUGGAUUAAGGAAUGAAUUUUGGAAUUUUGCUAACUUCUAAGUAAGUCUAUUCCAAUUAUGCAUUCGGUAGCUGGGGAAGAGAUCACAGGAUGGGUUCAGGGACCCAGUUAGUGACCACUCAAGGACCCACUUUAGUUUAAGAUGGACCUAAUCUACAACUCUAUUAUAAUCACCUGAUCUUUAUAAAGCCCUAUUCUGUCUGGAGACCCAUUGUAAGGUUUUGGAUAUCCUGAAAUCAGUAUAAGUUUAGAGCCAGUGACCAAAAAUCCCUGAAAAGUCUGAUUAUUUCCUUUUUUUCAACGCAUAGUUACCUAGUAAAAGGCCGUGGGUCUCUCUGGGGAAGGCUGGGAGAAAGAUUAACAAUAUACAUUUUUGGUAGUGUACCAAGGUCUUUUCUUGAGUGAACCCAUCCUCUCCUUUAUUCAAGGGAUUCUCGGUCUGCAACCUGGCUCAAAUCCGGGAAUUGAGGAAAGAGCCACAGAUUUGCUUCUUCCUAGCAAGGGCCUGGUACUAACACCAGUUCCAUCCAAAUAUUGUUCACUACUUCUUAGACAGAGACCCCUUUCUCCCAGGUCAUGCUGAUGCAAGAGGUGGGCUCUCACAGCCUUGGACAGCUCUGCCCCUGUGGCUUUGCAAGGAUCCCUGAGACGCCUUUGCUGUGAAUAAUGGAGAAGCAAAAGGAGUUACUAAUAAGACAAACUAAACCCAAGAACAGAGAGAGCCUAAGUUACAGAUACAUAUGUGUGUCUAAGAUUAAGAAACUAAGGCAUGAAGAAGUGAAGUCAUUUGUUCAAGGUCAGGCAGCUACUAAGUGAGAGAACAGAGAAUUAAAUCAAGCUGCCUGGAUCCCAAGGUCAUGCUCACAACUGGAGACUAAACAGCCUCAUAUUAGAUUUCCUCCAUGGAAAAAUAUCCUAUUUUCAUAUGGUGAACUAUAUAUUUAAUAUUUUAAUUUUGCUAACACAUUAUUGUUUUUUCACUGUACAUAAGUGAAACUGUUCUUUUCUUUUUUAUUAGUGUGUUUGUGUGUGCACAUGAAAAUUUGUUUUCUUUCUUUUCUAUUUUGGUCAAACUUUCUUUGU